CCUACGGGAGGCAGCAGUGGGGAAUAUUGCACAAUGGGCGCAAGCCUGAUGCAGCGACGCCGCGUGAGGGAUGACGGCCUUCGGGUUGUAAACCUCUUUCAGUAGGGAAGAAGCGAAAGUGACGGUACCUGCAGAAGAAGCGCCGGCUAACUACGUGCCAGCAGCCGCGGUAAUACGUAGGGCGCAAGCGUUAUCCGGAAUUAUUGGGCGUAAAGAGCUCGUAGGCGGUUUGUCGCGUCUGCCGUGAAAGUCCGGGGCUCAACUCCGGAUCUGCGGUGGGUACGGGCAGACUAGAGUGAUGUAGGGGAGACUGGAAUUCCUGGUGUAGCGGUGAAAUGCGCAGAUAUCAGGAGGAACACCGAUGGCGAAGGCAGGUCUCUGGGCAUUAACUGACGCUGAGGAGCGAAAGCAUGGGGAGCGAACAGGAUUGGAUACCCUGGUAGUCCAUGCGUAACGUUACGGUCGACGUAGGUGGUGGGACGACUACCUACGUUUCCGUCGUCCGUCGACUACGACAUAGUCGCCCGCCGUCGGGAGGUACGGCCGCGACGGACGUAAACGUACGUAAGUUAGAAGUUAGUUACGGCGUGAGACGNGCCGACGGACGACGACGAGGGAGGAGG
This 623-nucleotide ribosomal RNA is filed under the name uncultured bacterium. RNAcentral's name for it is "bacterial SSU rRNA". The stretch from base 1 to 529 matches the Rfam family "Bacterial small subunit ribosomal RNA", at positions 338 to 873 of the family's 1533-position model. The record is from RNAcentral.